Molecule: ribosomal RNA, 531 nt
Filed under: Nassarius filosus
Lineage: Eukaryota; Metazoa; Mollusca; Gastropoda; Neogastropoda; Nassariidae
Description: partial 16S ribosomal RNA
Rfam family: Bacterial large subunit ribosomal RNA
Source: RNAcentral
CAAAAACAUGGCUCCUUGAAUUUUAAUAAUAAGGAGUCGGACCUGCCCAGUGAAUUUUUUAACGGCCGCGGUACUCUGACCGUGCAAAGGUAGCAUAAUCAUUUGCCUUAUAAUUGAAGGCUAGUAUGAAUGGUUUGACAAGAAUGAAGCUGUCUCUUUAUAAUUUAAUAGAAUUUUAUUUUUAGGUGAAGAAGCCUAAAUAAAAUUAAAAGACAAGAAGACCCUAUCGAGCUUAAAAGAAGUUAAUAGAAUUAAUUAAUUAAUAUUUAUAAAAAAUUAUCUAUUAAACAUUUUAGUUGGGGCGACUGAGGAACAUAAAAAGCUUCCUUUAAAAUAAAAUUAAUAAAUCAAACUAGAAUUGAUCCAAAACAUUUUGAUUAAAGAAAUUAGUUACCGUAGGGAUAACAGCAUUAUCUUUUUUAAGAGCUCAUAUCGAAAAAAAGGUUUGUGACCUCGAUGUUGGACCAGAAUAUCCUAAAGGUGCAGCAGUCUUUAAGGGUUGGUCUGUUCGACCAUUAAAAUUCUACGUGA